This 497-nucleotide ribosomal RNA is filed under the name uncultured bacterium. RNAcentral describes it as "partial 16S ribosomal RNA". It matches the Rfam family "Bacterial small subunit ribosomal RNA", at positions 28 to 507 of the family's 1533-position model. The record is from RNAcentral.
GAUGAACGCUGGCGGCGUGCCUAAUACAUGCAAGUCGAGCGAACAGACGAGGAGCUUGCUCCUCUGACGUUAGCGGCGGACGGGUGAGUAACACGUGGAUAACCUACCUAUAAGACUGGGAUAACUUCGGGAAACCGGAGCUAAUACCGGAUAAUAUAUUGAACCGCAUGGUUCAAUAGUGAAAGACGGUUUUGCUGUCACUUAUAGAUGGAUCCGCGCCGCAUUAGCUAGUUGGUAAGGUAACGGCUUACCAAGGCGACGAUGCGUAGCCGACCUGAGAGGGUGAUCGCCCACACUGGAACUGAGACACGGUCCAGACUCCUACGGGAGGCAGCAGUAGGGAAUCUUCCGCAAUGGGCGAAAGCCUGACGGAGCAACGCCGCGUGAGUGAUGAAGGUCUUCGGAUCGUAAAACUCUGUUAUUAGGGAAGAACAAAUGUGUAAGUAACUAUGCACGUCUUGACGGUACCUAAUCAGAAAGCCACGGCUAACUACGUG